GUUAACGCUGGCAGCGUGCUUAACACAUGCAAGUCGAACGGGACUAUUCUGAGAUUACAUCAAGGGAUAGUCUAGUGGCAGACGAGUGAGUAACACGUAAGGAACCUUCCCUGGAGCGGGGAACAACCUGCCGAAAGGCGGGCUAAUACCCCGUACGAUCUCGAGGUGGCAUCAUCUUGAGAUGAAAGGCGUAAGCCGCUCUAGGAUGGUCUUGCGGCCUAUCAGCUAGUUGGUGAGGUAACGGCUCACCAAGGCUACGACGGGUACCCGGCCUGAAAGGGCGAACGGGCACGGAGGCACUGAGACACGGGCCUCACUCCUACGGGAGGCAGCAGUGGGGAAUAUUGGGCAAUGGGGGAAACCCUGACCCAGCGACGCUGCGUGAGGGAUGAAGGUCUUCGGAUCGUAAACCUCUUUUCUAGGGGAAGAAAGCCCGUAAGGGUUUGACGGUACUCUAGGAAUAAGCCCCGGCUAAAUAUGU
RNAcentral lists this ribosomal RNA (481 nucleotides) under uncultured bacterium. RNAcentral's name for it is "bacterial SSU rRNA". It matches the Rfam family "Bacterial small subunit ribosomal RNA", at positions 29 to 506 of the family's 1533-position model. The record is from RNAcentral.